Molecule: long non-coding RNA, 1736 nt
Organism: Salarias fasciatus (jewelled blenny)
Lineage: Eukaryota; Metazoa; Chordata; Actinopteri; Blenniiformes; Blenniidae
Exons: 4
Source: RefSeq, a predicted model, not a curated record
AUUGUCAACAUGUUUCACUGAAGCAGCUGAUAAUUUUACAUAGAGUCAGUGGGUUAAUUUACAACAAAAUGUGAACUUUUGAAAUUAAACAAUGUACUUGAAGUUAUUGCCAGCAAUGAUUGAAAUCAGAUAAACAAAAUGCUGCUGAUGUGUUUCAUUUUAGUUUUCUUCAUUUCCGGAUCAUAAAGAUGCCGUUCUGGAGUGAAAUCAAUUUUAAUUCCAAAAUUGAUAAAUAAAUGCUUUCAGUUGGAAAAGAUUGAUGAGACACAUGACGUGGCAGAAUGAUGUGCAGCUGAAUCAAACCGUGGUGGUGUGAAUCAAAAGCAUUUAGAUAGGUGUGGAUUUUUUAACACACACACACACACACCGUGUGUUGAAUUGCAGCAGAGUAAAUGAUGCUGACAGUAAUGUGGAGUGACUCAGGGUGACUGAAUGGAUGGAUGAAUCGUGACUCAGCUGUUUUUAGUCGCAUUGUGAAUAACCUGACAGGUUGAACCGUUAACCAGCGGGCCUCCACCCAGGCUGCACCGUCACCGUCCCCCACACCCAGACGACACCGACUAACAGCGCCCUAACAGCGACUUCCUGACUCAAAGCAGCUCGAUACCGAGGCCACGGCGUCCUUCCUCUUCCCGGGGAUGACACGCCCGGCUCGCCUCGUCGGAUUGCGAGGGUCUGGUCACUGCCGCAGGACCUCCACUCGGCAAAGAUGGCCGGCCCGGGCCACACGGCCAGGGGGAAGACCCGGCCCGGUCCAGUUGGGACCACGCACAGAUAAUUUCGUCGAAACUCGAAUAACUCCUAAACUAAUGUCUACGAGUGGAGCUGUUGCUUCAUGUAAUCGCUGAUUUCUAUUUUUUUUUUUUUUUUUUGAAGGUUGCGAAUCACCGAACUGCGGUCCGAAGGGGCAAGCCGAAAUACCCGGACCGAUUCUAGCGCGCGUCACGCUGCCCACCGCGCCGCGGAGCGGAGCAACGGUCCUCCGGAGCGGCGAACCCCCGGGCCCCGGGGGAGCCGCCGCGCGCCGCACCCAGCACCGCUGUAUUCACGUCGACCCACGGCGUCGUCCCCCGACUGCUCCUUACCAUGAUGUCCCGGGGUUUGUAAGCGCUGCUUCAGCGUCAGAUGGAGUCUUCCAAGUCGGGUGAACAGGGAGCGGAGAAUAUGGCCAUUUCACCGGGGGAGGCGGAUGAUAAAGAGAAGGGGCGGGGGCGGGGCCGGAAGACUUCAGAGCGCCGAGCCGAACCAACCGCCUGCGAGCCGCGCGGAAAAAAAACCACAUCACCUUAAAAGCGUAUUUUAAGUGUAGACAUCAGCGACAACAUUUGUAGAGCUAAUAGACAUUUUUAUCGGGGUUCGCUUUAAAGGCAAACAAGCGAACCAUUGAAAAUGGUGGUGUGUCAUGCUCAUGGAACACUUUGAUCUUGGAAGGUGAGGUGCCACCAGUUUUUCGCCUGAAGGGAAAAUUGGAUGACAUGACAGAGGUCAGUCUGCUUUCCUUUUGUCUCAAUAUUUAUUUGUUGUUUUUAGUCAAUGUUAUGUCAGGUUUCCCAUCCCUGGACAUGAUUCAUUAACUGAUUUUGUGAGCUAUGCUUUUAUUUAAUGCAGUACAGCCUUUUAAAGUAACACUAAGGAACUUUCAGUUUCCGUUGAUUUUGGCGGCGCCAGUGGACAAAAGCGGUAGUGUUUUGCCUAAAGGAAUACUACAGUUCCCAUGAGGACUAGUGCGUGACGUC